AUCCGUAAGAGAUCAGCUUGUACAGUAUCAGUUAGUUGGUGGGGUAAUGGCUUACCAAGACUAUGACGCUUAACUGGUUUGAGAGGAUGAUCAGUCACACUGGAACUGAGACACGGUCCAGACUCCUACGGGAGGCAGCAGUGGGGAAUAUUGCACAAUGGACGAAAGUCUGAUGCAGCAACACCGCGUGGAGGAUGACACAUUUCGGUGCGUAAACUCCUUUUAUAUGAGAAGAUAAUGACGGUAUCAUAUGAAUAAGCACCGGCUAACUCCGUGCCAGCAGCCGCGGUAAUACGGGGGGUGCAAGCGUUACUCGGAAUCACUGGGCGUAAAGAGCAUGUAGGCGGAUUGAUAAGUUUGAAGUGAAAUCCUAUAGCUUAACUAUAGAACUGCUUUGAAAACUGUUAAUCUAGAAUGUGGGAGAGGUAGAUGGAAUUUCUGGUGUAGGGGUAAAAUCCGUAGAGAUCAGAAGGAAUACCGAUUGCGAAGGCGAUCUACUGGAACACUAUUGACGCUGAGAUGCGAAAGCGUGGGGAGCAAACGGGAUUAGAUACCCCGGUAGUCCACGCCCUAAACGAUGCACACUAGUUGUUGUGAGGCUAGACCUUGCAGUAAUGCAGUUAACACAU
RNAcentral lists this ribosomal RNA (629 nucleotides) under uncultured bacterium. RNAcentral's name for it is "bacterial SSU rRNA". It matches the Rfam family "Bacterial small subunit ribosomal RNA", at positions 214 to 860 of the family's 1533-position model. The record is from RNAcentral.